CGUGCCUAAUCGUGCAAGUCGAGCGAACAGACGAGGAGCUUGCUCCUCUGACGUUAGCGGCGGCCGGGUGAGUAACACGUGGAUAACCUACCUAUAAGACUGGGAUAACUUCGGGAAACCGGAGCUAAUACCGGAUAAUAUAUUGAACCGCAUGGUUCAAUAGUGAAAGACGGUUUUGCUGUCACUUAUAGAUGGAUCCGCGCCGCAUUAGCUAGUUGGUAAGGUAACGGCUUACCAAGGCAACGAUGCGUAGCCGACCUGAGAGGGUGAUCGGCCACACUGGAACUGAGACACGGUCCAGACUCCUACGGGAGGCAGCAGUAGGGAAUCUUCCGCAAUGGGCGAAAGCCUGACGGAGCAACGCCGCGUGAGUGAUGAAGGUCUUCGGAUCGUAAAACUCUGUUAUUAGGGAAGAACAAAUGUGUAAGUAACUAUGCACGUCUUGACGGUACCUAAUCAGAAAGCCACGGCUAACUACGUGCCAGCAGCCGCGGUAAUACGUAGGUGGCAAGCGUUAUCCGGAAUUAUUGGGCGUAAAGCGCGCGUAGGCGGUUUUUUAAGUCUGAUGUGAAAGCCCACGGCUCAACCGUGGAGGGUCAUUGGAAACUGGAAAACUUGAGUGCAGAAGAGGAAAGUGGAAUUCCAUGUGUAGCGGUGAAAUGCGCAGAGAUAUGGAGGAACACCAGUGGCGAAGGCGACUUUCUGGUCUGUAACUGACGCUGAUGUGCGAAAGCGUGGGGAUCAAACAGGAUUAGAUACCCUGGUAGUCCACGCCGUAAACGAUGAGUGCUAAGUGUUAGGGGGUUUCCGCCCCUUAGUGCU
RNAcentral lists this ribosomal RNA (822 nucleotides) under Staphylococcus sp. A2.2. Its description in RNAcentral is "bacterial SSU rRNA". It matches the Rfam family "Bacterial small subunit ribosomal RNA", at positions 43 to 847 of the family's 1533-position model. The record is from RNAcentral. Lineage: Bacteria; Bacillati; Bacillota; Bacilli; Caryophanales; Staphylococcaceae.